GAUGAACGCUGGCGGCGUGCCUAAUACAUGCAAGUCGAGCGAACGGACGAGAAGCUUGCUUCUCUGAUGAUAGCGGCGGACGGGUGAGUAACACGUGGAUAACCUACCUAUAAGACUGGGAAAACUUCGGGAAACCGGAGCUAAUACCGGGUAAUAUUUUGAACCGCAUGGUUCAAAAGUAAAAGACGGUCUUGCUGUCACUUAUAGAUGGAUCCGCGCUGCAUUAGCUAGUUGGUAAGGUAACGGCUUACCAAGGCAACAAUGCAUAGCCGACCUGAGAGGCUGGUCGGCCACAGUAGACCGGAGACACGGUCGAGAGGCCUAGGGGAGGAAGAAGUCGGGAAUAUUCUGUAAUGGGCGAAAGCCUGACGGAGCAACGCCGCGUGGGUGACGAAGGUCUUCGGAGCGUAAAACUCUGUUACUAGGGAAGAACAUAUGUGUAAGUAACUGUGCACAUCUUGACGGUACCUAAUCAGAAAGCAACGGCUAACUACGUG
This 497-nucleotide ribosomal RNA is filed under the name uncultured bacterium. RNAcentral's name for it is "partial 16S ribosomal RNA". It matches the Rfam family "Bacterial small subunit ribosomal RNA", at positions 28 to 507 of the family's 1533-position model. The record is from RNAcentral.